AAUUCCUCUUUUCCCUUCCCUUCUCUAUUUCUUCAUCUCUCUCUUUCAAUGAUUAUUCUUCUUCUCUCUCUCUUCCCCGUUUCACUUCUUCCUCCACCUCUGCUUCUCUUCCUUCCAUUGUUACUCUUCUCAUGGACUAUGUUGGCCUCUCAAUGGAAUCAGCCAUGAAUGCAUCUUCGUGUCUUCUCCACCUUAAAACCACUGAAAAACCCCUCUCUGUAAUAAACUUCCUAAAAAACUCUGAUUUCAGUGAUACCCAUAUCCAAACUAUCAUCUGUAAACGUCCCCAGCUUCUUAAAGCCAAUGUGGAGAAAACCCUCAAACCCAAAUUCAGAGCGUUCCAUGAUUUGGGUCUUUUGGGGUGCGAUCUCGGACACAUCAUCUCUGCAGAUCCAGUCAUUCUUACAAAGAGCACUGAGAAACAAAUUCUCCCAAAAAUUGAGUUCCUCAAGAACUAUUUGCACACCAAUGAGAAGGUUGUGAGAGCUCUCAAGAAAUCUAGUUGGAUUCUGAUAUUUGAUAUUCAGAAGAGACUAGUACCCAACAUAAGGUUAUUGGAGAGCUAUGGAGUUGACGACUCACAGUUACAUAAAUUUCUUUUAAGACAGCCCAGAUUCUUUACUAUAGAACCAAAACGAAUUAAGGAAAUUGCAGAGAGGGUGAAGGAAAUGGGUUUCGACCCUAAUUCGAGGUUGUUUUCUCAUGCGAUUUUUGCAAUGAGUUGUCUGAGCAGGGAGACAUGGCAGGGCAAAGUUGAGUUGUGUAAGAAUUUUGGGUGGUCCGAAGAGGAUGUUAUGUGUGCAUUUCGAAGGUUUCCAUAUUUAUUCACGUUGUCUGAGAAGAAAUUGAAGAUGGGUAUGGAUUAUUUCAUUAAUGUAUUAAAAUUAGACAAGUUUUAUCUUGUUUCGCAUCCUGUGCUUUUCUCCCAUAGUUUAGAGGGAAGGGUUAUCCCCAGGCACCGAGUCUUGCAAGCUUUGAGAUCGAAGAAUUUGCUCAAGAAGGAUGUCGAAUUCACGUCGUUUUGCAAAAGAGCAGAAAAUGUAUUUUUGCAAAGAUAUGUGUUGAGUUUUGAGAAUGAGGCUGAAUACUUGUUGGGGGUUUAUAAGGGGAUCACUGAAAAUUGAGGGCUUCUUUGGCUUUGUUAAUAUCAUGGUUUUGCCACAGCAUUCUUCACCAUCAAAGAUGGAAACGAAUAUUUCAAAAGUAAAAGAUCAGUCCACAUUAAUGGUGAAUUGGGGGCCUUGGUCUUAAAGAUUAAAAGAAUGGGGAGCUUAGUCUUGCAAAAGGUGCUUAGAAGAUAGUUUUUAGCUCAAUUUUGGUGCAUUAUAUGCAUACAUAGGUGGCAAAUAGCUAAGGAUCUUUCACAUUGAGGCCCUUUCAUCUGAUGCACAUGAUGAAGAAGAGUGCUUUGGCCCUGCUUGCCUUCUCCUUGGCACUGGGGCAUUUCGAUACCGAAAUUUUGCAUGCUGGGAAAAUGGCGGAAAAACACUCAAAAGCUUGCCUUCUUUUUUUUUGUUUUUUUUUCAGCUUUUUUGUUGUGGGUGGGGUUGGGGCGCUUUGCUUUUUCGUUAUACUAUUGUACUUUGAAGCCCAAAUUCGUUUACAGUAGGAUUUUUUGCUCUUUCUGCUUACCCUGGGAAAUAGAGGGUGACUCUCAUUAAGUGAGCUAGAUGAGACUCGAACCAUAUGGUGGUUUGCGAGUAUAUUACUAUAGUGUUAGGAUGUGUUUCCCUCAACCCAUCAUCCUUUCCCGCGACUUUUUGUGGCCACCGAAACGGUGGUCUCUGGAUAAAGGAAGGGCAUCUCAUGUUACUAUCGUUUUAGGUGAGUAACUUCUUUUUGUCUCGGUUGCUUUGUAAUCUGAUUUACUUUACUUGUUUAGUUUUAGGUGAGUAACUUCUAUUUGUCUCGGUUGCUUUGUAAUCUUAUUUACUUUACUUGUUUACGUUGUCUGAUUAUUUCAGUGUUUUCUGCUGUGUUUUAUUUAAUGGAAUCUUAUCAUCAAUCAAGUAAAAGAAAAAAGGAGGUUUUGCCUUUUAUAAUAGUAAAUCAGGUUUUAGGACACUUUUAUGGAUAAGAGUAUGUAAAAUAUGAAAUCCACGGCCAGGUCGGAUUAAGCUGUUGGGUUGGGGUUGAGAUCAUGAUUGCAUGAGAACAUCCUCUACAUGGAAAUCUUGGUGCAUUUUCUACAGAGAUGAGGACAUUUUCUUGUGGUUUCUGGGUGGGGUAUUGUAUAUCCGAAUUAUGACUACUACCUUCUUUCUGAACCCUUGAACAUUUUCUUUUGUUUUCUUUUGGGGACAAUUUCUUGUGGUUUCUGCAGAGGGAUUGUACCUCUGUAUUAUGACCUCCACCUUUUUUCAAAGCUGCAUAGGAAAGUUACAACAGUUGCACCCCAUUUCUUCAUCAUCUAACCACACUGAUCAGUGAAAUUUUUCAUGGAGCAGCUUUAUAAACAGUUCUGAGUAAAUACAGCUUCAAAAAAACAGUACUUAUAGCCCAUCUUUAAGUAGCCACACCUGUGAUGAAAGUUCCUCUAUUUGUAGGGAGAGUUCAGUUACCACUUUUCGGAACCUAAUUUCUAGUAUUGAGAACUAGUGAUAAACUACAGGAAUUCAAGAAACUAUAAUUGUUGAUUAUGCUUCAUGUACCAUAAUAAACUGAGUCAGGCAUGUAAUAAACUGAGAACCUAAGAAUCAAUGUUUGAAACUUGGCAAUCUGGAUCUGGAAUUGGCAAUCCUGAUUGGUUUCAAUGGGUGGUCAAUCAGGGUCCCCUCCCCCAAAAUGGCCCCAAUUUUAUUUUUCAUUAGUUUAAACUGGUUUGACAAUUUGGAUUGAUCGGCCUAUCCAGAUCGGUGGAUGAUCCAAAACACUAUGCUGCAUUUUGAAGGUUAUGUUACAUGGAUUAUGGGUGAUCCAAAACACAAUUCCUCUUUUCCCUUCUCAUGGAUUAUGUUGCACGUGCAUUUCGAAGGUUUCCAAAUUUGUUUUUGUCAAAGAAGUUGCAGAGGGUCAUGGAAUAUUUCACUAACGAAAUUAAGUUUGGUAAGCUCAUAUUUCACUAAGAAAAUUAUGUUUUACAAGACCAUUUGAUGUGUAAUCCUCGACCUUUUGGGAUUAGUUUGGAGGGAAGGGUGAUCUUUAGGCACAGACACCACAACCUUUGAGAUCCAAAAAUUGGUCAAAGGGAUGCAGCUAUGGUAUCAGUUUGCAAACAAAUAGAAGAUGUUUUUGCAGAAGUUUGCGUACGAUUUUGGGAAUUUACAGGGGAAUUUGCGAAAAGAUGAGAGAAAGUAGACUUAGAUGGGCUGGUCUUGUGUGGCUCAAACCUAAUACAAUACCGAUUAGGAGGUGUAAGUUAAUUCAAGUGGAAAGUUUAAAAAGGGCAAGGAUAGGCCCAAAAGGAUAUGGUUGGAGGUAGUGAGAAGAUAUGUGGACUUAUGAGCUCACUAAAGGUAUGGUCUUUAAUAGAGCCUAAUGACGAACCAGGAUUCGUAUAGUCGAUCUUAAGUAGUUGGAAAAAAGCUUUGACGAUAAUGAUAGGGAAAUCCCCAAAAUAUUGGAUGGGUCUUAACUUUCAAAAUUUGAGAUCCAUUCUUGUUUCCAUUGCUCUAAACUUUCUAAUGUUUCCUUCUUCCUUCUAGCUAGUUCUAAUGGGGCUUUGUAUUUCUUCCACUCAAUGAAUGACUUCUAUUACUUUGUAUGUAAGACUAAUUGAUAUGUUAUGUUGAAUGGGUUUUGUGGGUUAGGUCCGGGUCCAUUGCCACCCCUGAUUUAAAAUGACAUGCAGAAUGGCUUCAUUUUUCCAGUUGUUUUUUAAGACAAGGAGAGAAGAUCAUUUGGGGUUUAUGAUUUGAUAACACCAUGGGAAUAGACGUGCUCCAUCUCAUGUCCGGGCGGCGCCUCUUAGAUUGGUGCAUUGCGAUUAUGCUUUGGAGGUCUCUUGCUUGAAGCCUGAAUAUCCAAAAUUCCUAAUUUGCUCUUGGUGGAUUUUGAUGGUUGAUAUCAAGAAGAGAUUACUGCUCAAUAUAAGGUUAAUAAUGAAUGCACUCGAAGAAAUCCGGUGUGAUGGGAAUGAAGUUAUUGUUUCGUGGUGUAUCAUUUCUAUUUAUUGUUAAUGGAAGGUUGUUAUCUAUUGGGAAAAUAAAGAGAUUCAUCAUUAUCAUCAUCGGAGCCUCAUCUCAACUAUUUAGGAGAAUCUUGUUUCGCUAUUCCGCUCUAUCAAAAAUCAUAUCUUCAUUGAGAUUAUAAGUUACCAUUUCUCUUUUCAUUAUUUUAAUCUAUGCAUUUUCAUUGCCUUUUUAGAGUCUUCCUCUUGAAUCAAAUCGCUCCUUCUAACUGGUGUUAAGUUAGAUCGACGCUAUACAUAGCCAAACUAUUAAGUCUAUUUUUCCUCUUCUUAUUACAUAUUGGAGCCACAGCUGAAUUUUCUUGGAUCUUAUUGCACACUGUGUUUUGUACUCUUGUGGAAUAUGUCCCCUUCCUUAGCAAAUUUCCAACCAGUUCAAAUACUAUAGAUUCACGAAAUCUUCCAUUUCUCAUGGAAUGCGCCUAAAUUUACGAGUUGAGAGAGUUUCAAGUCUAGAAAGCUUAUGGUCUAGUGAAGUCUAGAGGGGUACCAUGCUCCCAAAUUAUAGCCCCUGCCUGUUGGUUGAAUCUUGAAUAUCAUUUAGUGCUUCAUGGUUGUGUUGUCUCUUCUGAUAAGUUGUGCUCCAUGGUUUUGCUGGCCUUGAGUGUUCGUAAAACCGGCCGGUUAGAUCUGAACCGUUAGGGUUCGGACUCCGGUUAAAGCUGGUUUUGGUGUUCUAACUUGUAUAUGAAAUACCCCAAAAAAUAUCCUGUCCAAAAUUCGUCGAUAUCUAGUCGAACAGGCCAUUUUUAUAUUAAACCUACCGGUUGUUUGGCAAACCGGAUCGGUUAGUUUAAAAAAUGGUUUGUAACAUAAUAUAAUGGAGAAAUAACGUAUAAUGUCUGUUAUUUUUUAUAGGGGUUUUAUUUGAUGCAGAAGUCACAUGUUUCUCUUGAUUGAACAUUUGAUUCCAUUUUCCAUGCAUUUUCAGCCUUAUACAAACGUUUGUAGCUAAUAAUUGAUCGAAAUUUUUUCUUUUCGCCUAUAAAUCAAUCAAUUUGAGAUCAAAAUGGCAUCGAAAUUCCACUUUCUUGGCUGUCAUUUGGGUAUGCUUCAAAGUUUUGCGAGAAAUCUGCCAAUCUAAAGAUUUUGGCCUCUUUUUUUAAUUUUUCUACAUCAAAAAGGAGGGAUUUUGUUGAUGACAGACAUAUCAGCACUACUACACUCCUUAUUUGAUCGAAAUCUAGAUAUUUCGAGCUCGAUUUGAGAAUAGGACUUCGGUUAGAAGAAAACAAUGCAAGUUUUAUCCUGAAUUUUUUUUACUUUUUGUCCUACUUUUUCUCCCUCUUUUAGUAUUUUUCAGACAAUAUUUUACUAAAGUUAUUGAUUGCAUCCAAUAAAUAAACAUAUUUGAGGAUAAAUACUCAACGAAAAUCUAUUUUUUUUGUCUUUUUUUUUUUGUGUUCUUCAAUGUUUCAGCAAAAAUCCGACAAACUACAGAUUGUGGCAUUGUUUUUUUAUCGUUUCUCGAUCAAAAUAGGGGGCUUUUGUGGAUGACAGAGAUGUUCAGAUUAUUGAACUCCUAAUUUCAUCGAAAAUCAGAUAUUUGGGGCUCGAUUUUAGGGGUUUUUGAUAAAUUGGUUUUUUUUUAAAAAAAUUAUUUCGCAUAUAAAACUAUGCUUUAUGAUGAAUAUGAGAAGUGUUUUUCUAUUUUGUUUAAUAAAAUUAUGUUUUUUGAUAAAAUUACAUUUUUUGAUAAAAAAAAUAUUUUUGGAUGAAUAUGACAAAAAAUAGAUUCUUCUAUUUUUAAUGUACAAAAAAAAGUGUAUGAUAAUGCUGCUCGAUUUUUUUUUGCUCGAUAUUUUUAAUGUUACAGUGCACGAUAAUGUUGCUUGAUCUUUUCCUUCAAUUUUUUUUUGCUCGAUAGUUUUAAUGUUAUAUUGCUUUUGCUUCAUUUUUUUUUCUCAAUUUUUUGCAUGAUAUGUUUUUUUUUAUAUUUUUCUUAAGUGCAAGAUAUUACCAAAAAUAUGCAUGCUGACAGAGGGAUGGUAAAUGAACUAAGACUAUGUGAUGCUCCAGAUCUCUAAGAUGUCUUCAAGAUGUCAAUAUUAUGAAAGGUUGCAAUAACAUAAAAGUCUUUUUUGAUCUUUACUUGGAACCUCCCCUCUCUUUCUCUAAUUGUAUACCCAUACUCUUAUAUUAAAUUAGUACGUAUUGUAAAACUUGAAACUGGAGUGUGUAAACAUAUAUGUAUGUGUACUUAUAUUUAUCAGUAAUAAGCAUGGGAGUUUUUAAGUUUGAAAGUUAAAGUUAAAACUUUUGACCUUUUUCAAAAUUUUCAUUGAGUGAACCCUGAUAACUAGACACAACAGUACCUUUGCGCCCCUAGCUACUCUUUUUACUACCAACAUUAUUAAUUAGACUUUGUAAGUCCAUCAAUUGAAUUGAUCUUAAAUUAUAAAUUGUUUUACAUAUCUCCAUAAUAUUCAUAUAUUAAUUUAUAUAAAUGCAGUAAACCUUCCGAGCACUUGACAACUAUAAUAAACAGUAAUAUAGGUAAAAUUUCAGUCGUCAAAUGUUUAUCGAGUAGUCCAAAAUACAUAACACUAUUUUAAUUUUAAUUUUUUCUAUAAAUCUGAUUAAAAUGAAAUUUUGAGUGUAUAUACCUAACCUUAUUGCGCACCGUAUAAAAAUAUAAAAACAUUACUUGCAGUAAUUUAAAAUUACAAAUUUACCUCCAUUAUUUUCAAGGAUAUUUCAUCAUUUUAUAUUUAAAAAAUAUUUUUUAUAUAUUUUUUAAUUGUGCUUCUAUUUUUUAGUACACACAUAUAAAAUUUCAUUAUAAUUUGAUUUCUAAAAAAAAUAUUAAAAAUCAUAUAGUGAUAUGUAUUUUUAGCCAUAUGAUGAAGAUAUGACGGUUGAGAUUCCACCUAUAUUACUAUUCAUUAUAGCUCUUGGUGUUCGUUAGCUUUUCCCAUAUAAAUGAGUAAAUAUAUUUUAAAAAUUAAAAAUAAUAAGAAAACUUCUGAACAGUUAGUUUCAAUUAUUUUUAGAUAAACCACCUAUUAACUGGAUGCUUUAUACUUUGGGGACCACAAAUGUAGAAAUGCGGUCCGGCCAAAUGAAGCAAUUUUCCAUAAAUGCUCCCAAGCGGCUAUUUUCUCUGAUGGAGUUCUUUUCCAGAGUGCUCCCGCAGGAACAUGCUCUACGGACUGCAUUUUACUCCUUUUCUAGGGUUCGAGCGUAGACGAGCAAAGGAGAGAGAGACGGAGAUUUGUGUACCUGUUGGGUUUAGAGAGAGAGUGCGCAUUUUGGAGAGAGAGAGAGAGAGGGAGGGAAAAAUAGCAUUUAUGUUUGUUGGGAUUACACAGGCCUGCUGUUUUGCUCUCUUUUUGAAUGUUUUGGGAUUUUUUCCCCUCACAAAGUAUCAGCUUUUAAAACCCAUUUUCUCUAUUUGGAGGUUUCUGAUUAUUUUGCAGAAGAUGAAGCAGCUGGAUCCACCAUUCUAAGUAAAAGAGGUAUUUUUGCUCUCCUCUUUACAUUACCCUGCCUGGUUUUUCUUUUGUUCUUUAUGUACCCAUUGUUGGUUGAAUAAUGAUGCUCCCAACCCUCAGAAAAAGCUUGGCUUUGGCAAAACCCCAUUCUCUCUAUAUGCCUCAAUUCCUCUUUUCCCUUCCCUUCUCUCUUUCUUCAUCUCGCUCUUUCAAUGAUUCUUCUUCUUCUCUCUCUUUUCCCCCUUUCACUUCUUCCUCCACCUCUGCUUCUCUUCCUUCCAUUGUUACUCUUCUCAUGGACUAUGUUGGCCUCUCAAUGGAAUCAGCCAUGAAUGCAUCUUCGUGUCUUCUCCACCUUAAAACCACUGAAAAACCCCUCUCUGUAAUAAACUUCCUAAAAAACUCUGAUUUCAGUGAUACCCAUAUCCAAACUAUCAUCUGUAAACGUCCCCAGCUUCUUAAAGCCAAUGUGGAGAAAACCCUCAAACCCAAAUUCAGAGCGUUCCAUGAUUUGGGUCUUUUGGGGUGCGAUCUCGGACACAUCAUCUCUGCAAAUCCAGUCAUUCUCACAAAGAGUACUGAGAAACAAAUUCUCCCAAAAAUUGAGUGCCUCAAGAACUAUUUGCACACCAAUGAGAAGGUUGUAAGAGCUCUCAAAAGAUCUAGUUGGAUUCUGAUAUUUGAUAUGGAGAAGAGACUAGUACCCAACAUAAGGUUAUUGGAGAGCUAUGGAGUUGAGGACUCACAGUUACAUAAAUUUCUUUUAAGACAGCCCAGAUUCUUUACUAUAGAACCAAAACGAAUUAAGGAAAUUGCAGAGAGGGUGAAGGAAAUGGGUUUCAACCCUAAUUCGAGGUUGUUUUCUCAUGCGAUUUUGGCAAUGAGUAGUCUGAGCAGGGAGACAUGGCAGGGCAAAGUUGAGUUGUGUAAGAAUUUUGGGUGGUCCGAAGAGGAUGUUAUGUGUGCAUUUCGAAGGUUUCCAUAUUUAUUCUCUUUGUCUGAGAAGAAAUUGACGAUGGGUAUGGAUUAUUUCAUUAAUGUAUUAAAAUUGGACAAGUUUUAUCUUGUUUCGCAUCCUGUGCUUUUCUCCCUUAGUUUAGAGGGAAGGGUUAUCCCCAGGCACCGAGUCUUGCAAGCUUUGAGAUCGAAGAAUUUGCUCAAGAAGGAUGUCGAAUUCACGUCGUUUUGCAUAAGAGCAGAAAAUGUAUUUUUGCAAAGAUAUGUGUUGAGUUUUGGGAAUGAGGCUGAAUACUUGUUGAGGGUUUAUAAGGGGAUCACUUAAAAUUGAGGGCUUCUAUGUGGUUUUGCCACAGCAUUCUUCACCAUCAAAGUUGGAAACGAAUAUUUCAAAAGUAAAAGAUCAGUCCACAUUAAUGGUGAAUUGGGGGCCUUGGUCUUAAAGAUUAGAAGAAUGGGGAGCUUAGUCUUGCAAAAGGUGCUUAGAAGAUAGUUUUUAGCUCAAUUUUGGUGCAUUAUAUGCAUACAUAGGUGGCAAAUAGCUAAGGAUCUUUCACAUUGAGGCCCUUUCAUCUGAUGCCCAUGAUGAAGAAGAGUGCUUUGGCCCUGCUUGCCUUCUCCUUGGCAUUGGGGCAUUUCGAUACCGAAAUUUUGCAUGCUGGGAAAAUGGUGGAAAAACACUCAAAAGCUUGCCUUCUUUUUUUUUGUUUUUUUUCCAGCUUUUUUGUUGUGGGUGGGGUUGGGGCGCUUUGCUUUUUCAUCAUGCUAUUUUACUUUGAAGCGCAAUUUCGUUUACAGUAGGAUUUUUUGCUCUUUCUCCUUACCCUGGGAAAUAGAGGGUGACUCUCAUUAUGUGAGCUAGGUGAGACUCGAACCAUAUGGUGGUUUGCGAGUAUAUUACUAUAGUUUUAGGAUGUGUUUCCCUCAACCCAUCAUCUUUUCCCGCCACUUUUUGUGGCCACCGAAGCGGUGGUCUCUGGAUAAAGGAAGGGCAUCUCAGGUUACUAUCAAUUUAGGUGACUAACUUCUAUUUGUCUCGGUUUACUUUACUUGUUUACAUUGUCUGAUUAUUUCAGUGUUUUCUGCUGUGUUUUAUUGAAUGGAAUCUUUUCAUCAAUCAUGUAAAAGAAAAACGGAGGUUUUGCCUUUUAUAAUAGUAAAUCAGGUUUUAGGACACUUUUAUGGAUAAGAGUAUGUAAAAUAUGAAAUCCACGGCCAGGUCGGAUUAAGCUGUUGGGUUGGGGUUGAGAUCAUGAUUGCAUGAGAACAUCCUCUACAUGGAAAUGUUGGUGCAUUUUCUACAGAGAUGAGGACAUUUUCUUGUUGUUUCUGGGUGGGGUAUUGUAUCUCCGAAUUAUGACUACUGCCUUCUUUCUUAACCCUUGGAACAUUUUCUUUUGUUUUCUUUUGGGGACAAUUUGUUGUGGUUUCUGCAGAGGGAUUGUACCUCUGUAUUAUGACCACCACUUUUUUUUCAAAGCUGCAAAGGAAAGUUACAACAGUUGCACCCCAUUUCUUCAUCAUCUAACCACACAGAUCAGUGAAAUUUUUCAUGGAGCAGCUUUAUAAACAGUUCUGAGUAAAUACAGCUUCAAAAAAACAGUACUUAUAGCCCAUCUUUAAGUAGCCACACCUGUGAUGAAAGUUCCUCUAUUUAUAGGGAGAGUUCAGUGUAUGCUGGUUCUUACCACUUUUCACAACCUAAUUGCUAGUAUUGAGAACUAAUGAUAAACUACAGGAAUUCAAGAAACUAUAAUUGUUGAUUAUGCUUCAUGUACCAUAAUAAACUGAGUCAGGCAUGUAAUAAACUGAGAACAUAAGAAUCAAUGUUUGAAACUUGGCAUUCUGGAUCUGGAAUUGCCAAUCCUGAUUGGUUUCAAUGGGUGGUCAAUCAGGGUCCCCUCCCCCAAAAUGGCCCCAAUUUUAUUUUUCAUUAGUUUAAACUGGUUUGACAAUUUGGAUUGAUCGGCCUAUCCAGAUCAGUGGGUGAUCCAAAACACUAUGCUGCAUUUUGAAGGUUAUGUUACAUGGAUUAUGGGUGAUCCAAAACACAAUUCCUCUUUUUCCUUCUCAUGGAUUAUGUUGCAUGCGCAUUUCGAAGGUUUCCAAAUUUGUUUUUUUCAAAGAAGAAGUUGCAGGGGGUCAUGGAAUAUUUCACUAACGAAAUUAAGUUUGGUAAGCUCAUAUUGCACUAAGAAAAUUAAGUUUGGCAAGAACCAUUUGAUGUGUAAUCCUCGACGUUUUCGGAUUAGUUUGGAGGGAAGGGUGAUCUCUAGGCACAUACACCACAACCUUUGAGAUCUAAAAAUUGCUCAAAGGGAUGCAGAUAUGGUAUCUGUUUGCAAACAAAUAAAAAAGAUGUUUUUGCAGAAGUUUGCGUAAAAUUUUGGGAAUUUACAAGGGAAUCCCCAAAAAGAUAGAGAGAGUAGAUUUAGAUGGGCUGGUUAUGUGUGGCUCAAACUUAGUACAACACCGAUUAGGAGGUGCAAGUUAGUUCAAGUGGAAAGUUUAAAAAGGGCAAAUGUAGGCCCAAAUAAAGCAUAAUGACGGACUAAGAUUCGUGUGAUCGAUCUUAUUUAGUUGGGAAAAAGCUUCGACGAUGAUGAUAGGGGAAUCGAAAAAGCUUUGACGAUGAUGAUAGGGGAAUCCCCAAAAAAUUGGAUGGGUCUUAACUUUCAAAUUCGAGAUGCAUUCUUGUUUCCAUUGCUCUUAAGUUUUCUAGUGUUUCCUUCUUCCUUCUAUUUGGUUCUAAUGGGGCUUUGUAUUUCUUCCACUCAAUGAAUGACUUCUAUUACUUUGUAUGUAAGACUAACUGUUAUAUUAUGUUGAAUGGGUUUUGUGGCUCAUUGGUGAAGAUAGAUGCCAAAUUUUGUUCAACUCUUGACUCGUGAAUGGAAAUAAUAGGCUAGAGGCUUAAAACAACUCUAAUUGUAAGUAGUGCAGCUGAUGAGAACGGUCUAUUGAGAUUGUUUUGGGCAAGAAAGAGAAUUAUGGCUCAUUGGGCAUAGGGGUGGCAACGGGUCUGGUCUGGACAGAUCCAAACCCAAACACUAUUUGGAUCCAGACCCAACGCGCCUGGUCCAAUUUUUGGACCUUGAUCGGGUCUACCCCUAGAGUCCUGGGUCAGGUUCGGGUCCAUUGCCACCCCUGAUUGGAAAUGAGAUGCAGAAUGGCUUCAUUUUUCCAGUUGUUUUGAAGACAAGGAAAGAAUAUCAUUUGGGGUUUAUGAUUUGAUAACACCAUGGGAUUAGACGUGCUCCAUCUCAUGUCCGGGCGGCGCCUCUUAGAUUGGUGCAUUGCGAUGAUGCUUUGGAGGUCUCUUGCUUGAAGCCUGAAUAUCCAAAAUUCCUAAUUUGCUCUUGGUGGAUUUUGAUGGUUGAUAUCAAGAAGAGAUUACUGCUCAAUAUAAGGUUAAUAAUGAAUGCACUCGAAGAAAUCCGGUGUGAUGGAAAUGAAGUUAUUGUUUCGUGGUGUAUCAUUUCUAUUUAUUGUUAAUGGAAGGUUGUUAUCCAUUGGGAAAAUGAAGAGAUUCAUCAUUAUCAUCAUCGGAGUCUCAUCUCAACUAUUUAGGAGAAUUUUGUUUCGCUAUUCCGCUCUAUCAAAAAUCAUUUCUUCAUUGACACUAUGAGUUAUCAUUUCUCUUUUCAUUAUUUUAAUCUAUGCAUUCUCAUUACCCUUUUAGCGUCUUGCUCUUGAAUCAAAUCGCUCCUCUUAACUGGUACUAAGUUAAAUCGACGUUAUACAUAGCCAAACUAUUAAGUCUCUUUUUCCUCUUCUUAUUACAUAUUGGAGCCACAGCUGAAUUUUCUUAGAUCUUAUUGCACACUGUGUUUUGCACCCUUGUGGAAAAUGUCCCCAUAGCAAAUUUCCAACUGGUUCAAAUACUGGAUUCACGAAAUCUUCCAUUUCUCAUGGAAUGCGCCCAAAUUUACGAGUUGAGAGAGUUUCAAGUCUAGAAAGCUUAUGGUCUAGUGAAGUCUAGAGGGGUACCAUGCUCCCAAAUUAUAGCCCCUGCCUGUUGGUUGAAUCUUGAAUAUCAUUUAGUGCUUCACGGUUGUGUUGUCUCUUCUGAUCAGUUGUGCUCCAUGGUUUUGCUGGCCCUGAGUGUUCGUAAAUCCGGCCGGUUAGAUCGGAACCGUUAGGGUUCCGACUCCGGUUAAGGCUGGUUUUGGUGUUCUAACUUGUAUAUGAAAUACCCCAAAAAAUAUCCUGUCCAAAACCCGCCGUUAUCCAGUCGAACCGGCCAUUUUUAUAUUAAACCUACUAGUUUUUUGGCAAACCGGAUCGGUUAGUUUAAAAAAUGGAUUGUAACAUAAUAUAAUGGAAAAAUAACAUAUAACGUCUGUUAUUUUUUAUAGGGGUCUUUAUUUGAUGCAGAAGUCACAUGUUUCUCUUGAUUGAACAUUUGAUUCCAUUUUCCCUGCAUUUUCAGCCUUAUACAAACGUUUGUAGCUAAUAAUCGGUCGAAAUUUUUGCUUUUCGCCUAUAAAUCAAUCAAUUUGAGAUCAAAAUGGCAUCGAAAUUCCACUUUCUUGGCUAUUAUUUGGGUACGCUUCAAAGUUUCACGAGAAUUCCGCCAAUCUAAAGAUUUUGGCCUCUUUUUUUAAUUUUCCUACAUCAAAAUGGAGGGAUUUUGUUCAUGAACAGACAUAUCAGCACUACUACACUCCUUAUUUGAUCGAAAUCUAGGGAUUUUGAGCUCGAUUUGAGAUUAGGACUUCGGUUAGAAGAAAACAAUGUAAGCUUUAUCUUGAAUUUUUUUUAUUUUUUGUUCUACUUUUUCUUCCUCUUUUAGUAUUUUUCUGACAAUAUUUUAUUGAAGUUAUUGAUUGCAUCCAAUAAAAGAACAUAUUUGAGGAUAAAUACUCAACGAAAAUCAAUUUUUCUUGCCCAUUUUUUUUGUGUUCUUCAAUGUUUCGGGAAAAAUCCGACAAACUACAGAUUGUGGCGUUGUUUUUUUUAUUGUUUCUCGAUCAAAAUAGGAGGCUUUUGUGGAUGACAGAGAUGUUCAGACUAUUGAACUCCUAAUUUCAACGAAAGUCAGACAUUUGGGGCUCGAUUUUAGGGGUUUUUGAUAAAUUGGUUUUUCUAAAAAAAAUUUAUUUUGCAUAUAAAACUAUGCUUAUGAUGAUUAUGAGAAGUGUUUUUCUAUUUUGUUUAAUAAAAUUAUGUUUUUUUUAUAAAAUUACAUUUUUUGAUAAAAAAAAUAUAUUUUUGGAUGAAUAUGACAAAAAUAGAUUCUUCUAUUUUUAAUGUACAAAAAAAAGUGCAUGAUAAUGCUGCUCGAUUUUUUUUUGCUCGAUAUUUUUAAUGUUACAGUGCACGAUAAUGUUGCUUGAUAUUUUCCUUCAAUUUUUUUUGCUCGAUAUUUUUAAUGUUAUAUUGCUUUUGCUUCAUUUUUUUUUUUCUCAAUUUUUUGCAUGAUAUGUUUUUUUUUAUAUUUUUCUUAAGUGCAAGAUAUUACCAAAAAUAUGCAUGCUGACAGAGGGAUGGUAAAUGAACUAAGACUAUGUGAUGCUCCCGAUCUCUAAGAUGUCUUCAAGAUGUCAAUAUUAUGAAAGGUUGCAGUAACAUAAAAAUCUUUUUUGAUCUCUACUUGAAACCACUCUUCUCUCUUUCUAAUUGUAUACCCAUACUCUUAUAUUAAAUUAAUACGUAUUGUAAAACUUGAAACUGGAGUGUGUAAACAUAUACGUAUUGUAAAACUCGAAACUGGAGUGUGUAAACAUAUAUGUAUGUGUACUUAUAUUUAUCAGUAAUAAGCAUGGGAGUUUUUAAGUUUGAAAGUUAAAGUUAAAACUUUUGACCUUUUUCAAAAUUUUCAUUGAGUGAACCCUGAUAACUAGACACAACAGUACCUUUGCGCCCCUAGCUACUCUUUUUACUACCAACAUUAUUAAUUAGACUUUGUAAGUCCAUCAAUUGAAUUGAUCUUAAAUUAUAAAUUGUUUUACAUAUCUCCAUAAUGUUCAUAUAUUAAUUUAUAUAAAUGCAGUAAACCUUCCGAGCACUUGACAACUAUAAUAAACAGUAAUAUAGGUAAAAUUUCAGUCGUCAAAUGUUUAUCGAGUAGUCCAAAAUACAUAACACUAUUUUAAUUUUAAUUUUUUCUAUAAAUCUAAUUAAAAUGAAAUUUUGAGUGUAUAUACCUAACCUUAUUGCGCACCGUAUAAAAAUAUAAAAACAUUACUUGCAGUAAUUUAAAAUUACAAAUUUACCUCCAUUAUUUUCAAGGAUAUUUCAUCAUUUUAUAUUUAAAAAAUAUUUUUUAUAUAUUUUUUAAUUGUGCUUCUAUUUUUUAGUACACACAUAUAAAAUUUCAUUAUAAUUUGAUUUCUAAAAAAAAUAUUAAAAAUCAUAUAGUGAUAUGUAUUUUUAGCCAUAUGAUGAAGAUAUGACGGUUGAGAUUCCACCUAUAUUACUAUUCAUUAUAGCUCUUGGUGUUCGUUAGCUUUUCCCAUAUAAAUGAGUAAAUAUAUUUUAAAAAUUAAAAAUAAUAAGAAAACUUCUGAACAGUUAGUUUCAAUUAUUUUUAGAUAAACCACCUAUUAACUGGAUGCUUUAUACUUUGGGGACCACAAAUGUAGAAAUGCGGUCCGGCCAAAUGAAGCAAUUUUCCAUAAAUGCUCCCAAGCGGCUAUUUUCUCUGAUGGAGUUCUUUUCCAGAGUGCUCCCGCAGGAACAUGCUCUACGGACUGCAUUUUACUCCUUUUCUAGGGUUCGAGCGUAGACGAGCAAAGGAGAGAGAGACGGAGAUUUGUGUACCUGUUGGGUUUAGAGAGAGAGUGCGCAUUUUGGAGAGAGAGAGAGAGAGGGAGGGAAAAAUAGCAUUUAUGUUUGUUGGGAUUACACAGGCCUGCUGUUUUGCUCUCUUUUUGAAUGUUUUGGGAUUUUUUCCCCUCACAAAGUAUCAGCUUUUAAAACCCAUUUUCUCUAUUUGGAGGUUUCUGAUUAUUUUGCAGAAGAUGAAGCAGCUGGAUCCACCAUUCUAAGUAAAAGAGGUAUUUUUGCUCUCCUCUUUACAUUACCCUGCCUGGUUUUUCUUUUGUUCUUUAUGUACCCAUUGUUGGUUGAAUAAUGAUGCUCCCAACCCUCAGAAAAAGCUUGGCUUUGGCAAAACCCCAUUCUCUCUAUAUGCCUCAAUUCCUCUUUUCCCUUCCCUUCUCUCUUUCUUCAUCUCGCUCUUUCAAUGAUUCUUCUUCUUCUCUCUCUUUUCCCCCUUUCACUUCUUCCUCCACCUCUGCUUCUCUUCCUUCCAUUGUUACUCUUCUCAUGGACUAUGUUGGCCUCUCAAUGGAAUCAGCCAUGAAUGCAUCUUCGUGUCUUCUCCACCUUAAAACCACUGAAAAACCCCUCUCUGUAAUAAACUUCCUAAAAAACUCUGAUUUCAGUGAUACCCAUAUCCAAACUAUCAUCUGUAAACGUCCCCAG
This 15951-nucleotide long non-coding RNA is filed under the name Amborella trichopoda. Its description in RNAcentral is "long non-coding RNA (ATRI_LNC000203)". Lineage: Eukaryota; Viridiplantae; Streptophyta; Magnoliopsida; Amborellales; Amborellaceae. The record is from RNAcentral.